RNAcentral lists this ribosomal RNA (534 nucleotides) under Dyadobacter beijingensis. Its description in RNAcentral is "bacterial SSU rRNA". It matches the Rfam family "Bacterial small subunit ribosomal RNA", at positions 371 to 904 of the family's 1533-position model. The record is from RNAcentral. Lineage: Bacteria; Pseudomonadati; Bacteroidota; Cytophagia; Cytophagales; Spirosomataceae.
AUGGAUGCAAGUCUGACCCAGCCAUGCCGCGUGCCGGAUGAAGGCCCUCAGGGUUGUAAACGGCUUUUAUUCGGGAAGAAGACAAGGGAUGCGUCCUUGUGUGACGGUACCGAAUGAAUAAGCACCGGCUAACUCCGUGCCAGCAGCCGCGGUAAUACGGAGGGUGCGAGCGUUGUCCGGAUUUUAUUGGGUUUAAAGGGUGCGUAGGUGGCUGUUUAAGUCAGUGGUGAAAUACGGUUGCUCAACAAUCGAGGUGCCAUUGAUACUGAAUAGCUUGAAAUAAUUGGAGGCUGCCGGAAUGGAUGGUGUAGCGGUGAAAUGCAUAGAUAUCAUCCAGAACACCGAUUGCGAAGGCAGGUGGCUACGAUUGGUUUGACACUGAGGCACGAAAGCAUGGGGAGCAAACAGGAUUAGAUACCCUGGUAGUCCAUGCUGUAAACGAUGAGGACUCGUUGUUUGGCUGCAAAGCUGAGCGACUUAGGGAAACCGUUAAGUCCUCCACCUGGGGAGUACGCCGGCAACGGUGAAACUCAA